RNAcentral lists this non-coding RNA (1081 nucleotides) under Humicola fuscoatra. RNAcentral's name for it is "eukaryotic LSU rRNA". The stretch from base 484 to 1081 matches the Rfam family "Eukaryotic large subunit ribosomal RNA", at positions 1 to 625 of the family's 3401-position model. The record is from RNAcentral. Lineage: Eukaryota; Fungi; Ascomycota; Sordariomycetes; Sordariales; Chaetomiaceae. RNAcentral also lists the same sequence under 2 other names.
AUUACAGAGUUGCAAAACUCCCUAAACCAUUGUGAACGUUACCUAAACCGUUGCUUCGGCGGGCGGCCCGGGUCCUUCCCGGCGCCCCUCGGCCCUCGCGGGCGCCCGCCGGAGGAAAACCAAACUAUUGCAUUGUAUGGCCUCUCUGAGUCUUCUGUACUGAAUAAGUCAAAACUUUCAACAACGGAUCUCUUGGUUCUGGCAUCGAUGAAGAACGCAGCGAAAUGCGAUAAGUAAUGUGAAUUGCAGAAUUCAGUGAAUCAUCGAAUCUUUGAACGCACAUUGCGCCCGCCAGUAUUCUGGCGGGCAUGCCUGUUCGAGCGUCAUUUCAACCAUCAAGCCCCGGGCUUGUGUUGGGGACCUGCGGCUGCCGCAGGCCCUGAAAUGCAGUGGCGGGCUCGCUGUCACUCCGAGCGUAGUAGUUACAUCUCGCUCUGGGCGUGCUGCGGGUUCCGGCCGUUAAAAGCCUUAUUUACCCAAGGUUGACCUCGGAUCAGGUAGGAAGACCCGCUGAACUUAAGCAUAUCAAUAAGCGGAGGAAAAGAAACCAACAGGGAUUGCCCUAGUAACGGCGAGUGAAGCGGCAACAGCUCAAAUUUGAAAUCUGGCUUCGGCCCGAGUUGUAAUUUGCAGAGGAAGCUUUGGGCGCGGCACCGACUGAGUCCCCUGGAACGGGGCGCCAUAGAGGGUGAGAGCCCCGUAUAGUCGGACGCUAAGCCUGUGUAAAGCUCCUUCGACGAGUCGAGUAGUUUGGGAAUGCUGCUCAAAAUGGGAGGUAAAUUUCUUCUAAAGCUAAAUACCGGCCAGAGACCGAUAGCGCACAAGUAGAGUGAUCGAAAGAUGAAAAGCACUUUGAAAAGAGGGUUAAAUAGCACGUGAAAUUGUUGAAAGGGAAGCGCUUGUGACCAGACUUGCGCCUGGCUGAUCAUCCGGUGUUCUCACCGGUGCACUCUGCCAGGCUCAGGCCAGCAUCGGUUCUCGCGGGGGGAUAAAGGCCCUGGGAACGUAGCUCCUCCGGGAGUGUUAUAGCCCAGGGUGCAAUGCCCUCGCGGGGACCGAGGUUCGCGCAUCUGCAAGGAUG